CCUACGGGAGGCAGCAGUGGGGAAUAUUGGACAAUGGGCGAAAGCCUGAUCCAGCAAUACCGCGUGUGUGAAGAAGGCCUUAGGGUUGUAAAGCACUUUCAAUAGGGAGGAAAAAGGUAAGCUUAAUACGCUUGCCCUUGACAUUACCUAUACAAGAAGCACCGGCUAACUCCGUGCCAGCAGCCGCGGUAAUACGGAGGGUGCAAGCGUUAAUCGGAAUUACUGGGCGUAAAGCGUGCGUAGGCGGCUUGUUAAGUCAGAUGUGAAAGCCCCGGGCUUAACCUGGGAACUGCAUUUGAAACUGGCAAGCUAGAGUUGAGUAGAGGGGAGUGGAAUUUCAGGUGUAGCGGUGAAAUGCGUAGAUAUCUGAAGGAACACCAGUGGCGAAGGCGACUCCCUGGACUCAAAUUGACGCUGAGGCACGAAAGCGUGGGUAGCAAACAGGAUUAGAUACCCUGGUAGUCACGCCGUAAACGAUGUCGACUAGCCGUUGGGCCCUUUUAGGGUUUAGUGGCGCAGCUAACGCAUUAAGUCGACCGCCUGGGGAGUACGGCCGCAGGGUUAAAACUCAAAGGAAUUGACGGGGACCCGCACAAGCGGUGGAUGAUGUGGUUUAAUUCGACGCAACGCGAAAAACCUUACCUACCCUUGACAUGUCUGGAAUCCUGAAGAGAUUUGGGAGUGCUCGAAAGAGAACCAGAACACAGGUGCUGCAUGGCCGUCGUCAGCUCGUGUCGUGAGAUGUUGGGUUAAGUCCCGCAACGAGCGCAACCCUUGUCAUUAGUUGCUACGAAAGGGCACUCUAAUGAGACUGCCGGUGACAAACCGGAGGAAGGUGGGGAUGACGUCAGGUCAUCAUGGCCCUUAUGGAUAGGGCUACACACGUACUACAAUGGUCGGUACAGAGGGCAGCCAACCCGCGAGGGGGAGCCAAUCCCAGAAAGCCGAUCUCAGUCCGGAUUGGAGUCUGCAACUCGACUCCAUGAAGUCGGAAUCGCUAGUAAUCGCGAAUCAGCAAUGUCGCGGUGAAUACGUUCCCGGGCCUUGUACACACCGCCCGU
RNAcentral lists this ribosomal RNA (1061 nucleotides) under uncultured bacterium. RNAcentral's name for it is "bacterial SSU rRNA". It matches the Rfam family "Bacterial small subunit ribosomal RNA", at positions 338 to 1397 of the family's 1533-position model. The record is from RNAcentral.